GUACUAUUGAAGAGUCCCACACUAGGACGAAACAGCUAGCUGUCCAGUAC
RNAcentral lists this non-coding RNA (50 nucleotides) under Trichobilharzia regenti. The record is from RNAcentral. Lineage: Eukaryota; Metazoa; Platyhelminthes; Trematoda; Strigeidida; Schistosomatidae.